Molecule: small RNA, 3379 nt
Filed under: Pan troglodytes (chimpanzee)
Lineage: Eukaryota; Metazoa; Chordata; Mammalia; Primates; Hominidae
Description: retained intron
Source: RNAcentral
GGAAAACAGACAUGUAUGCAUACAUAGCAUCUGGCAUAUAUACAAAUAUAUGUGUCACAUAUAUUUGCAUAUGAUUUCAGCUACAGUCAUCGAGGAUCCCUCUGCUCUAGAGAUGGAUUGACUUAUGCUUUGAUUGAUUUAUUUAAGUGAUGUUUACCUUAACCGGUUGUAGACUGGUGGAGAAAACCCAGAAGGUAGAGAAUCCAUCAGUCUCAUUUGCCUCUUCUUUCCCCCUUAUUCCUCUUCUCACAAAAGGCAAGAGUGUUCAGAAGAAACAAGCAGAGAGUAAAAGCCAGAUAAAGGUAAUGCACACACUUCAGUAACACCCACUGGAGCUUGCUGAGCAGUGCCAAGUGUGGCCAUGGAGGGGCAUAGUGGGGUGGGCCUUGUCCCCAAGUCCCUCUUUGGAGUGCCUUUCCUGAUGGUGAGUCCCUAGGCUCCCAGGCAAAGCCCUGGAUCUCGUGUACAGCCUCAUUCCUCAUGGUGCCAGGUAGCACCUGUUGCCAGAGCUGGGAAGCAGACCCUCUCCUCCAUGACAAGGAUGGCCAUGAGAGUGUCCUCCCUCAGCCUCUCUUUCUCAUGUCACUCCUGUCUCCCCUCCCCUCUGCUCUCUUCCCAGCUCCAUACUCAGAGUGCUCCCUUUGGACUGUGUCCCAAGGGCCUGAUGCUCACCCAGGCUCCAAGCUCCAUCGUGAGGUCCAGGAACAGCAGGAACCACACCAUGAACUCUGGUGGAUCCUGCCUGAGUGCCAGCACAGUGGCCAUCCCUGCCAUCAACGACAGCAGUGCAGCCAUGAGUGCCUGCAGCACCAUCAGCGCCCAGCCUGCAAGCUCCAUGGACACUCAGAUGCACUCCCCAAAGAAGCAGGAGAGAGUGAACAAGAGGGUCAUCUGGGGCAUUGAGGUGGCUGAGGAGCUGCAUUGGAAAGGCUGGGAGCUAGGAAAGGAGACCACAAGGAAUCUGGUUCUGAAAAAUCGAUCCUUGAAACUCCAGAAGAUGAAGUACAGGUAAAUGCCCCCUUCAGGAUUGAAAUUUCCUCAGAUGAACUGGCCGAAGACCAGGCCUUCUCAUGCCCCACGGCCCAUGGCAUCGUGCUUCCGGGAGAGAAGAAAUGUGUGUCAGUGUUCUUCCACCCCAAGACUCUGGACACCAGAACUGUGGACUACUGCUCCAUCAUGCCUUCUGGCUGUGCCUCCAAGACCCUGCUUAAAGUCGUUGGUUUCUGUAGAGGUACUGGUGACCCCAGGGGCCUCCCCUGGGGACAGGAGCAGCCCCUGCUGAGGAUUCUGAAGAGCUCCUUCCCUGCUCCUAGGAGGCGGGGCCACCUUGCCUCAGCCUGGGUGUCUGCUGCCCCCUGGUGGCCCUAUGGGGAAUCAUCUGUGACUACCUGGAGAUCCCAGUCCCACCGGCAUCCAGUGAUGCUGGAGUUCUGCUCAGGCUGCCAGGGCUCUGGGCCUGUAGCCUGGCCCUGAGAGUACCACCUCCCUUCAGUGGGACUUUGUCUAAGACAUCCUUGGGGAAGCUGAUACCCCAUAUCCUGUGUCCAGGCCCUGCCGUGUCCCUGCAGCACUACUGUGUCAACUUUAGCUGGGUCAACCUUGGGGAGCGCUCCGAGCAGCCCCUGUGGAUUGAGAACCAAUCAGACUGCACGGCCCACUUCCAGUUUGCCAUCGACUGCUUGGAGAGUGUCUUUAGCAUCAGGCCUGCCUUUGGGACCCUGGUGGGCAAGGCCCGUAUGACCCUCCACUGUGCCUUCCAGCCCACUCACCCCAUCAUCUGCUUUCGGCGUGUGGCCUGUCUUAUCCACCACCAGGACCCGCUGUUCCUGGACCUGAUGGGGACCUGCCACUCGGACAGCACCAAGCCAGCCAUCCUGAAGCCUCAGCACCUCACCUGGUACCGCACACACCUGGCCCGGGGCCUGACGCUCUACCCCCCUGACAUCCUGGAUGCCAUGCUGAAGGAGAAGAAGCUGGCACAGGACCAGAACGGGGCUCUCAUGAUUCCCAUCCAGGAUCUGGAGGACAUGCCAGCCCCGCAGUACCCUUAUAUCCCUCCCAUGACCGAGUUCUUCUUCGACGGCACCAGCGACAUAACCAUCUUCCCCCCGCCCGUCAGUAUAGAGCCUGUCGAGGUAGACUUCGGUGCCUGCCCAGGGCCUGAGGCCCCCAACCCUGUACCCCUGUGCCUGAUGAACCACACCAAGGGCAAGAUCAUGGUGGUCUGGACGCGAAGGUCUGACUGCCCCUUCUGGGUGACUCCAGAGAGCUGCGACGUGCCCCCACUCAAGUCCAUGGCCAUGCGCCUGCACUUCCAGCCGCCUCACCCCAACUGCCUUUACGCGGUGGAGCUCGAAGCCUUCGCCAUCUAUAAGGUGUGUGCACGCAAUGAGAGGGAGGAAUGCGGGGUCUCUGCUAGGAGCCUGAGUGGCUGGGUGGGGUGGCAGGAAGUGACCGAGGGCAGCUUCAGGCUCCAUCCUCUGCGUGCCAGGCUUUCUCUUGGCUGGACAGUGACCCCUAUGGGUUUGUCUCCUCCAAAGCUCCUGGCCUAGCUCGGCCCAUCUGAUUUUCUCAUUCUUAUGUAAGUCUCCCCUCCCCUCUAAGGGAGAACUCAGCUGAGAUCAAGCUGUUUGGGAAAAUUGGGUGCACAGGGAGAUUCUCCCUGGGGCUCCUGGCUAGGAGGCCUCCUAGCUUCUCUACUAGUCCUUGAAUUAAGAAGUGGUCACUCUAAAGGAGCUUUGAGCGGGCAGGAAGCUGGGCCUAGAGACAAAGUCAGCAGCACCAGAUAAUUGUGAUGGAAAGGGCUUCUGACUCAGCUUCCCUGGGUCGGGAACUCCGAGUGCCGGCUGUCCCCAGCCCUGCUGUUCUGGCCCCAGAUGCAUGGUGCCCCCUCCUCAUCCUUUAGUCCUGCCCAUCCCUUCCUUCUUGACUCUGCCCACCCCACUGCCCUUGCCCAGAGGCCAAGGUCUUGGGACCCAGAGAAAAGUAGGGCUGUGCGGUCAAGAUCAGGGUCACUUACCAGCUAUGUGACCUUGGGCAAGUUCCUUAAUGUCUCUGAGUCCUGAUCUUUUCAUCUGUAAACUUGGGACCACGUCCGAUCUUUUGAGGAGGCUUUCCAAAGUGGAGGCUUUAGUUGCCCCCGUCCUAAUGCCUUGGCAGUGGGGUGAUGUCGAGGUUUGUAGGAAUAAGGUUGUAGAUGCCUGGCUCUGCUGAGGCUGAGCCUGUCAGAUAUUUAGGUUACAGGCUGUAGACCUGCACAGUCCAGUACAGCCACUGACAGCCACACGUGGCUACUGAGCUUUUAAUAUGUGGCUGGUCCCAAUUGAGACGUGCCGUGAGUGUAAAAUGCACCCUGGAUUUCAAAGACUUAGUAUGAAAA